GAUGAACGCUGGCGGCGUGCCUAAUACAUGCAAGUCGAGCGAACAGACGAGGAGCUUGCUCCUCUGACGUUAGCGGCGGACGGGUGAGUAACACGUGGAUAACCUACCUAUAAGACUGGGAUAACUUCGGGAAACCGGAGCUAAUACCGGAUAAUAUAUUGAACCGCAUGGUUCAAUAGUGAAAGACGGUUUUGCUGUCACUUAUAGAUGGAUCCGCGCCGCAUUAGCUAGUUGGUAAGGUAACGGCUUACCAAGGCAACGAUGCGUAGCCGACCUGAGAGGGUGAUCGGCCAAACUGGAACUGAGACACGGUCCAGACUCCUACGGGAGGCAGCAGUAGGGAAUCUUCCGCAAUGGGCGAAAGCCUGACGGAGCAACGCCGCGUGAGUGAUGAAGGUCUUCGGAUCGUAAAACUCUGUUAUUAGGGAAGAACAAAUGUGUAAGUAACUAUGCACGUCUUGACGGUACCUAAUCAGAAAGCCACGGCUAACUACGUGC
This 498-nucleotide ribosomal RNA is filed under the name uncultured bacterium. Its description in RNAcentral is "partial 16S ribosomal RNA". It matches the Rfam family "Bacterial small subunit ribosomal RNA", at positions 28 to 508 of the family's 1533-position model. The record is from RNAcentral.